GACGAACGCUGGCGGCGUGCUUAACACAUGCAAGUCGAGCGGUAAGGCCCUUUCGGGGGUACGACGAGCGGCGAACGGGUGAGUAACACGUGGGUGACCUGCCUUUAGCUCUGGGAUAAGCCUGGGAAACCGGGUCUAAUACCGGAUAUGACUCCGCGGCGCAUGUUGGUGGGGUGGAAAGCCUUGUGCGGCUGGAGAUGGGCCCGCGGCCUAUCAGCUU
RNAcentral lists this ribosomal RNA (220 nucleotides) under uncultured bacterium. RNAcentral's name for it is "partial 16S ribosomal RNA". It matches the Rfam family "Bacterial small subunit ribosomal RNA", at positions 28 to 247 of the family's 1533-position model. The record is from RNAcentral.